UUUGAUAUUUCUUUUUAGCAUCUUUGUAGUUUCAUAACUUGUUAAAGAGUUUUCGACUUUAAUUUUUAGUUAAACGAUACAGGACGUGUGAGUUUUAUUACAGACUCAUACGAUAAAGAGAAAGCUUAAUUUUUUUAGAGAUUUGUUCUUGGAUUGGGACGAUAUAUUUUUGUACAAAGGGGAUUCGGUUUUGUGUAGAAUCCAGCUCCAACCUGCCUCCUUGCUAGUUCUAACCUAAUUUAUCACAUUCAUGCACUAAUAAUUUUUAGACAUGUUGAAUUCCUAUCUCUUAUAACAGCCUAAUUAGACUAAUGUAUGUAUAUAUUUUUAUAUAAUAUUACGUGAGGAAAAAAAAUUAUUUAUAAAAAAAUUAUAUCUGACAUCUGUUAAUCACAUGAAGGAAGAAAACAACACAUACUCUCUCUCUCAACAACCUUUUACCCAACCUCUGUUUCCCUCCUCCCUAUCUUUGCCUAUACAACCCAAAGCCUUUGCUUCAAGCAAUCAAAACCCACUUUCCAAAAAUUUUCAUAUAAAGAAAAAUUAAAUCUUUACAAACCCAAGUAAAGAACCAAAAAAAAAAAACCCCCGAAAAUUGCUCACGUCUCCACCGUCAAUGUGGCGGCCGUGGGGUAAAUCAACGGUCAAGAUUCACGACACCUCCUCGCCCUUUUCCUGCUCUUCCUUCAAGGAUAUCCACCGCCUCUGCACUGACGAUCCUUCUCCUUCUUCUUCCCCCGCCGCCGCCUCCAAGAGAUCCUCCGCCGUUUUCCACCGAGUCCGCCUCGCCAAUUCCAUAAUCCGCUCCUGGUCAACUCGCCCCCUCCCCAACCCGAUUCACAACCCGAAACUCCCCAACUCCAACCCGAACUCCAUUCAGAUGCUCUUUCCCCGAAANNNNN
RNAcentral lists this long non-coding RNA (902 nucleotides) under Carica papaya (papaya). Its description in RNAcentral is "long non-coding RNA (CPAP_LNC012775)". Lineage: Eukaryota; Viridiplantae; Streptophyta; Magnoliopsida; Brassicales; Caricaceae. The record is from RNAcentral.